GAGAAAUCCGUGCAACACUUAUUGACCAUGUUAUCAACCAUGGACUGACACUGAUGGAAGCUGGACAAAGAGUUCAACCAAAUCUCAGCAGAAAUACUGUUGCGUCAGUAAUUCGGACAUUUCAUCGAGAAAACAGGAUUGAGGGUCGAGGACACCAAGGUGGAAGGGGCCCUAUGUUUAGUCGUGCACAAGAGGCCGCCAUUGUGAACAUGGUUUUGGCCAAUAAUUGUAUCAGGCUACGAGAAAUCCAAGCCAAUAUCAUCAAUGAUGACAAUAUUUUCAAUAACAUCCAACGAGUCUCUCUGUCAACAUUAGGUCGAAUCCUAAAGAAAAAUCAAAUAUACAUGAAGCAACUGUAUCGGGUACCAUUUGACAGAAAUUCAGAGAGAGUGAAACAUCUGCGCAAUGAGUAUGUGGAGAGAGUCUUGCAAAUGGAUGCUGCUGAAAUUCAACAUGAAUUUAUAUAUGUGGAUGAGGCUGGAUUUAACCUUGCAAAAACAAGAAGAAGAGGGAGAAAUGUAAUUGGGCACAGGGCAAUCACCAAUGUGCCAGGGCAGCGAGGGGGUAACAUCACCCUUUGCGCUGCUAUCACACAAAAUGGGGUCCUCCACCACCAUGCAAAUCUGGGACCCUAUAAUGCAAAUCUGAUACUUGCAUUUCUUGACCGAUUGCAUGAGAUUGUCACAGCAUUACACCAAGUGGACCAGAUGCGGUACAUUGUCGUUUGGGACAAUGUCUCAUUUCAUCGGGCUGCUCUAGUCCAGAACUGGUUCCAUGAUCACCCUGAUUUUGAAGUUUUAUACCUUCCCCCAUACUCCCCCUUCCUGAAUCCUAUAGAAUAAUUUUUUUCAGCGUGGCGGUGGAAGGUAUAUGACCUGCGGCCUUAUGACCGUUUGCCCCUCAUUCAGGCCAUGGAACAGGCAUGUGAUCUUAUUGAAGCAGCUUCAGUGCAGGGGUGCAUUCGUCACACAAGGCGAUUCUUCCAACGGUGCCUUGCCAAUGAAGACAUAGCCUGUGAUGUGGAUGAAAUGUUAUGGCCUGAUCCAGCCAGACGGAGAGACGGAUAGUUACAGUAUUCUUGUUGCUUUUACAGUAGUUUUCUUUCAUUUCUGUUUACUUUUACUUUACUUUUCUUCAGAGUCAAAGUGUAUGUACUGUAAUUCAUGCAGUAAUUUUUAUUUGUCUACGGAUUUUAUUUGUUUACAGUAAUUGAUAUCAUUGUUGGUUGAUUACUGUAACUGAUUAUGGUAAGAAAUACUGUAAGUAUUGAAAUAAAUACUUGAAAUAUUCAGUCUGCAGCAUCAAGUGUUGUGCAGUGCUUGGUAAGGUUAUAGUAGGCCUACAGUAUUUGUCUACAUUCUCCUUAUAUCUCAAAACAAAUCAUGAAUAAUGUUGUGAGUU
This is a long non-coding RNA of Coregonus clupeaformis (lake whitefish), 1401 nucleotides long. RefSeq lists it as uncharacterized. The record is from RefSeq and is a predicted model, not a curated record. The transcript has 3 exons. NCBI's taxonomy places the organism in Eukaryota, Metazoa, Chordata, Actinopteri, Salmoniformes, Salmonidae.